UGGGGAAUUUUGGACAAUGGGCGCAAGCCUGAUCCAGCCAUGCCGCGUGCAGGAUGAAGGCCUUCGGGUUGUAAACUGCUUUUGUACGGAACGCAAAGACUCCUUCUAAUCAAGGGGGUCCAUGACGGUACCGUAAGAAUAAGCACCGGCUAACUACGUGCCAGCAGCCGCGGUAAUACGUAGGGUGCGAGCGUUAAUCGGAAUUACUGGGCGUAAAGCGUGCACAGGCGGUUAUAUAAGACAGGUGUGAAAUCCCCGGGCUCAACCUGGGACCUGCAUUUGUGACUGUAUAGCUAGAGUACGGUAGAGGGGGAUGGAAUUCCGCGUGUAGCAGUGAAAUGCGUAGAUAUGCGGAGGAACACCGAUGGCGAAGGCAAUCCCCUGGACCUGUACUGACGCUCAUGCACGAAAGCGUGGGGAGCAAACA
This 427-nucleotide ribosomal RNA is filed under the name uncultured bacterium. RNAcentral's name for it is "bacterial SSU rRNA". It matches the Rfam family "Bacterial small subunit ribosomal RNA", at positions 355 to 774 of the family's 1533-position model. The record is from RNAcentral.